CUGUUUUUUUGAGAUGGGGUGUCACUCUGUUGCCCAGCCUGCAGUGCAGUGGCGCAGUCUCGGCUCACUGCAACCUCUAUCCCCUGAGUUCAAGUGAUCCUCCCUCCUCAGCAUCCUAAAUAGCUGGGACCACAGGCGUGUGCCAUCACACUCAGCUAAUUUUUGUAUUUUUGGUAGAAACAGGGUUUCACCAUGUUGCCCAGGCUGGUCGCAAACUCCUGACAUCAAGCAAUCCACCCGCCUCGGCCUCCCAACUUGCUGGGAUUACAGGCGUGAGCCACUGUACCUGGCCCCUAAGAUUCUUUCUUUCCUUUUUUUCUUUUUUUCUUUUUCUUUUUUGAUGGAGCCUCGCUAUGUUGCGCAGGCCGUGGCACAGUGGUGCGAUCUCAGCUCACUGCAACCUCAGCUUCCUGGGUUCAAGCGAUUCUCCUGCCUCAGCCUCCCAAGCAGGUGGGAUUAUAGCCGCCUGCCACCACGCCUGGCUGAUUUUUGUAUUUUUAGUAGAGACGGAGUUUCACCAUAUUGGUCAGGGUGGUCUCAAACUCCUGACCUCGGGUGAUCCACCGCCCCCAUCAGCCUCCCAAAGUGCUGGGAUUACAGGUGUGAGCCCAGCCUAAAUAGUAUUUUUUAAAUUGUAGCAAUAGACAUUUUAUUAGAAAAAGAAUUUUACUGCCAUCUGCUGGAAAGUUGUCUUCAUAACUAUAUGAAAUCUGGGUUGUCCAAGACAGGAAUAGCAUCCUUUAGAUGUUCCAAUCUGCACAAUUGUCCACCCUUCUCUGGAAUGUCUCGUGGAACAGUCAGCCCAGGUGUCUGUCCUCUCAGUAAGAUCCUCAUGGGCAAAAAGCACAGCCUCUCUUCCGUCCCUCAUCCUAAAGCUGCCUAUGUCUGUAAUGAUUUCCUUCUCUUACAGACGCUGGUUCACCAUUCAGAGCAACCAACUGGUUUACCAGAAGAAGUACAAGGUGAGUGGACCUGGGUCCUGGAUGCCUGGGCCCCAGGGAGACUCAGCUCUUGCCUGCAGCUGGACGUCUGGCCUCUUAUCACCUUAUCCUGCCAGGACCCUGUGACUGUGGUGGUGGAUGACCUUCGUCUCUGCACAGUGAAACUCUGCCCUGACUCAGAAAGGCGGUUCUGCUUUGAGGUGGUGUCCACCAGCAAGUGAGUGCAAUCCCCAGGGGUGAUACUUUAAUAUAUCUAAACAGCUGCCAAUCUGAAAGGCAGGGCCCACCACAAUGGAGGCCCCCCAUGCAGCUCCAGACUUUAAUUCUUUGGCAGCUGGACUGGGGGGCCAUUGUGGAAGAGGGUACAGGGUGAUGGGGGAUAUUUAGGAGAAUAUUACCAACUGGUACAGAAGUCUUUCAAUGCAACUGGAACUGGUUGAAUACUGGCUGAAUGUCAGUCUGCCCAUGCUGCCACUUUGCUUCCCAGGCCUCAGACCCCUCUGCCAUCUCCCUCACCCUCCUACCUAGGUCCUGCCUCCUCCAGGCUGACUCAGAGCGCCUCCUGCAGCUGUGGGUCAGUGCUGUGCAGAGCAGCAUUGCUUCUGCCUUCAGUCAGGCUCGCCUUGAUGACAGCCCCCGGGGUCCAGGCCAGGUACCUUAACCUGGGGGUGCGCAGCCAGGCUGCCUGUGGAGAUGGGGCACCCUUUACCCUAGGCCCCUUGGCCACCCUUUCUUCCCCUCUCUCCCCCAGGGCUCAGGACACCUGGCCAUAGGCUCUGCUGCCACCCUGGGCUCUGGUGGAAUGGCCAGGGGAAGGGAGCCUGGGGGAGUCGGGCACGUGGUGGCCCAGGUCCAGAGUGUGGAUGGCAAUGCCCAGUGCUGCGACUGCCGGGAGCCAGCCCCGGAGUGGGCCAGCAUCAACCUUGGUGUCACCCUCUGCAUUCAGUGUUCCGGCAUCCACAGGUUACUCCACAAGGCCCAUGCGGGAGCCCCACUCCUUCGGGCCACAGUGCGGCUCCAAUACAGAGCGCAUCACACCGGCCCCUCUUCCUUCCCUGUCCUGGCUUCCUCUCUUAGCUUCUGGCUUUGUCACUGGGUACCAGGCCUGGGCCCAAGCCUCUGGGGUGCCAGUUGGACCCAGGCGGGCCUAGCCCCUCUGUGUCCUAGUCUGGCCAGAAUUGGGGGAUACCCAGAAUUUGUUGGCUUGGUUGGAAGAAGUGUGGGGUCAAGGCUGCUGAGGGUGGGGGAGCCAAUGAAGACUAGGCAGAGAAAUGGUCAUGAGGCCUUAGCAAGUGUCUAAGGCCCUCGCCCCCCACCUCAGUGUGGUGGAAGGGAGGUGACAUGGGAGAGGUUGUCCAGGCCAAAGUGUCACUAGAGAAGGGAGGUGGCUGGAGUGAUGAGGGCCUUGAAAUGAAACCUAAGGAAGAAGGAAUGGUGACGAGGCAGGGUCCUGCCAGGGCCAGGUCAAGGCUACAUGGCAGCUACAUGGCCGCAGCUGCCCUGCCUCCUGGGCCAGCACCUCUGCACGGGCCCCCAUGCCAGCCUUGCCUCCCAGUGUCUUCAGGAGCAGCAGCAGCUCCCCAGGCCACUGCCCCCCUGCACAGGGCCUGACCCUCCCCCUCUGGCCCUCCAGGAGCCUUGGUGUUCACUUCUCCAAAGUCCGGUCUCUGACCCUUGACUCAUGGGAGCCAGAACUAGUGAAGGUAACUUAGGGUAUUGUGAAGAUUGGGGGCAAGAACUUGGGGUGGGGCAAGGACAUGGCGGUGCAGGGGCGUGAUCCCUGAGGAGUCACUCACCCCCACCUUCCCUGUCUCUGCCUCUGCCUGGGCCUCCUGAAGCUCAUGUGUGAGCUGGGAAAUGUCGUCAUCAACCAGAUCUAUGAGGCCCGCGUGGAGGCCAUGGCAGUGAAGAAACCAGGGCCCAGCUGCUCCCGGUGAGCUUGGGGUUUAGCCUCCCAGGGGAAUGGGGGACCCCUGGAGCAGAAGAGGGAAGACUGCCUGCUUCUCCCCUCCCACAGGCAGGAGAAGGAGGCCUGGAUUCACGCUAAAUACGUGGAGAAGAAGUUCCUGACCAAGCUGCCUGAGAUUCGAGGGCGAAGAGGUGGCCGGGGGCCCCCAAGGGGGCAGCCUCCUGUGCCCCCAAAGCCUUCCAUCAGGCCCCGGCCAGGGAGCUUGAGAUCCAAGCCAGGUAUAGGGUUGGUUGGGCAUUCAUUGAGCAUCUGCUGUGUGCUCGGCACCGUGCCAGGUAGCGCCAGGAGGCACAGAGUGUGAAGCCCAGGCCUUCCGCUGGAGAAUGUCGGAGGGACCGGACUGCCGUUUCAGGGGUUACAGUGGAGUGUGACAUUAAGAAUGGGAAGGAACGUGGGGCUGGGCAUGGGCAGGGAGGGUAAGGGGUGCCAACAGCAUAAGAAAAGGAGAGAGAGGGGGUGGGUUUGGCUGGAGCAUCAGGGGUUGAGAGCUGAGGCCGAGUGUCAGGCAGUCAGCUCACCUGUGUCAUCCCAGCAGUCGGGGUGGUUGGACCGGAUGAGGUGAUGAUGCCGUCUCUCCCCUACACCCUAGGGACUUGUACACAUGCAUACUCAUACUUACACAUACCCACACUUGCAUCACUCUAUUCCCUCCACAGUCCCAAGCUCCCCAUCAUUUAGAAGAGACCUGUCCCAUUAUAGCAUUGGGGCACUGCUGAGGGUUUUCUUCCCAGACUCGGAGCUGCUUCCCCCUAACAGAACCAAAUCCCCCGAACAGAACCCCCCUCUGAGGACCUGGGAAGCCUGCACCCUGGGGCCCUACUGUUUCGAGCAUCUGGGCAUCCUCCAUCUCUUCCCACCAUGGCUGAUGCCCUUGCCCAUGGAGCUGAUGUCAACUGGGUCAAUGGGGGCCAAGAUAAUGCCACACCGCUGAUCCAGGCCACAGCUGCUGUAAGAGCCCUGCCGACCUCUCCACCCCACCCUAGGGCUCUGACACCUACUCCUGACUCUGGGCCCUGCCCUUACCUCCUUUUCCCACCACCUGUUCCCUAGGGCCUGCACCCAUAGGGAGAGAUCAACAAUAGAGACUGGUUGCUAAGAGUGUGUGAUUUGGAGGCAGAGAACCUGAGUUUGAACCCAGGCUCUCACCUCUUACAGGAGACUUUUUUUUUUUUUUUUUUUUGAGACAGUCUCGCUCUGUCCCCCAGGCUGGAGUGCAAUGGUGCGAUCUGGGCUCACUGCAAGCUCCGCCUCCCGGGUUCACACCAUUCUCCUGCCUCAGCUGCCUGAGUAGCUGGGACUACAGGCGCCAGCCAGCAUGCCCGGCUAAUUUUUUGUAUUGUUAGGAGAGAUAGGGUUUCACCGUGUUAGCCAGGAUGGUCUGGAUCUCCUGACCUUGUGAUCCACCCGCCUCGGCCUCCCAAAGUGCUGGCAUUACUGGCGUGAGCCACUGUGCCCGGCCUACAGGAGACUUUUAACAAGUUAUUAACCUCUCAGCCUCAUCUGUAAAAUAGUAACAUACCUCAUAAGCUUGUACUAUGGAUUUAUAUAUGAAUACAUGCAAAGAGCUAGAGCCAAGCCUAGCUUGGUUACAGUUAGCUGUAACCCCUUCCACACUCCUGAUUACCACACUCCACCCUCCCAUUCUCUGAACUGGCGCCACCCUAAGACAUCUUGAAAUCCACCACUAGGGAUGCCACCCUCAACCCCCCUUCUCGACUUCUCCAUGCAGAAUUCUCUUCUGGCCUGUGAGUUUCUCCUCCAGAACGGGGCGAACGUGAACCAAGCGGACAGUGCGGGCCGGGGCCCGCUGCACCACGCAACCAUUCUUGGCCACACGGGGUAGGGAUGAUGGCAUGGGGAGGAAGGCUGGGAGAAGUUGGGCGGCCGGCUGACCCUGGCUCUUCUCUCCAGGCUCGCCUGCCUGUUCCUGAAACGGGGAGCUGAUCUGGGGGCUCGAGACUCUGAAGGCAGGGAUCCUCUGACCAUCGCCAUGGAAACAGCCAACGCUGACAU
This 4923-nucleotide small RNA is filed under the name Pan troglodytes (chimpanzee). Its description in RNAcentral is "retained intron". The record is from RNAcentral. Lineage: Eukaryota; Metazoa; Chordata; Mammalia; Primates; Hominidae.